RNAcentral lists this ribosomal RNA (729 nucleotides) under uncultured bacterium. RNAcentral's name for it is "bacterial SSU rRNA". It matches the Rfam family "Bacterial small subunit ribosomal RNA", at positions 73 to 798 of the family's 1533-position model. The record is from RNAcentral.
ACUGUAGCAAUACAGUUGAUGGCGACCGGCAAACGGGUGCGGAACACGUACAGAACCUUCCUUCGAGCGGGGAAUAGCCCAGAGAAAUUUGGAUUAAUACCCCAUAGUAUUACGGAGUGGCAUCACUUUGUWAUUAAAGAUUUAUCACUUGAAGAUGGCUGUGCGGCUGAUUAGGUAGUUGGCGGGGUAACGGCCCACCAAGCCUACGAUCAGUAACUGGUGUGAGAGCACGACCAGUCACACGGGCACUGAGACACGGGCCCGACUCCUACGGGAGGCAGCAGUAAGGAAUAUUGGUCAAUGGACGARAGUCUGAACCAGCCAUGCCGCGUGGAGGAUGAAGGCCCUCUGGGUUGUAAACUUCUUUUAUAUGGGACGAAAAAGGGCCUUUCUAGGUCAACUGACGGUACCAUUUGAAUAAGCACCGGCUAACUCCGUGCCAGCAGCCGCGGUAAUACGGAGGGUGCAAGCGUUAUCCGGAUUCACUGGGUUUAAAGGGUGCGUAGGUGGGUUGGUAAGUCAGUGGUGAAAUCUCCGAGCUUAACUUGGRAACUGCCAUUGAUACUAUYARUCUUGAAUAYYGUGGAGGUCAGCGGAAUAUGUCAUGUAGCGGUGAAAUGCUUAGAGAUGACAUAGAACACCAAUUGCGAAGGCAGCUGGCUACACRWAUAUUGACACUGAGGCACGAAAGCGUGGGGAUCAACAGGAUUAGAUACCCUGGUAGUCCAC